RNAcentral lists this transfer RNA (94 nucleotides) under Caudoviricetes sp. RNAcentral describes it as "tRNA-OTHER". The record is from RNAcentral. Lineage: Duplodnaviria; Heunggongvirae; Uroviricota; Caudoviricetes.
GGACGGUGCAACAAAUUGGUAAGUUGCCUAGUGACAAGUGUGUAUGUGCUUGUCUGGUCAGCACUAGAUAUAGGUUCGAGUCCUAUACCGUCCA